GGUAGCCGUACCGGAAGGUGUGGCUGGAUCACCUCCUUUUAGGGAGACCUACCUACUCAGAUUCUGAAAGCACAAUGCAAAUAAGGAUUGAGUUGGUCAUCCCAAGGUCGUUCGAGGUAUGAGUGUAAGGCUUUCAAACUAUUUCUAGGUUUGAUAUCAACCUCAGUGGGCAAGCCGCCCUUAGUAAGUACGGUUUAACCCACUGAAGUUCUUCUUGCAAAUCGAUAUAGUAGUAGAUGUGGAAGUUGAUUGAGUUGAGACAAAGACCUCAACGGAACGAGCAGAAAACAAUCAACAGACAACCCUAAAGAGUUCGGUUCUUGCAUCCCACAAACAAGAAUAGAUUCGCUAGAGUAGUGAAUGUGGCAAACGAGUUAGCCGGUGGACAAGUGAACCGACACUAAGGAAACAGUAUUUCAGCCAAUUGGAUCAACGACUUCAGCAACUUAUCUAGCUUGUAAUUAGACUGGAGAGCCUGCUGGAUUUUGAACUCCAGUCACGAACCUUGAAAAUUGCAUAGCAACUUGUCAGGUAGUUAGUGAGAACUGAGCAAUGACUCAGUGAUUCACUAAUCACAGACACCAAUGAAUUUUGU
This 595-nucleotide unclassified non-coding RNA is filed under the name Oculatella atacamensis ATA2-1-CV9. RNAcentral describes it as "16S-23S ribosomal RNA intergenic spacer". Lineage: Bacteria; Bacillati; Cyanobacteriota; Cyanophyceae; Oculatellales; Oculatellaceae. The record is from RNAcentral.